CUACGGGUUGCACCAGUGGGGAAUAUUGCACAAUGGGCGCAAGCCUGAUGCAGCCAUGCCGCGUGUAUGAAGAAGGCCUUCGGGUUGUAAAGUACUUUCAGCGGGGAGGAAGGGAGUGAAGUUAAUACCUUUGCUCAUUGACGUUACCCGCAGAAGAAGCACCGGCUAACUCCGUGCCAGCAGCCGCGGUAAUACGGAGGGUGCAAGCGUUAAUCGGAAUUACUGGGCGUAAAGCGCACGCAGGCGGUUUGUUAAGUCAGAUGUGAAAUCCCCGGGCUCAACCUGGGAACUGCAUCUGAUACUGGCAAGCUUGAGUCUCGUAGAGGGGGGUAGAAUUCCAGGUGUAGCGGUGAAAUGUGUAGAGAUCUGGAGGAAUACCGGUGGCGAAGGCGGCCCCCUGGACGAAGACUGACGCUCAGGUGCGAAAGCGUGGGGAGCAAACAGGAUUAGAUACCCCCGUAGUC
Molecule: ribosomal RNA, 464 nt
Filed under: uncultured bacterium
Lineage: Bacteria
Description: partial 16S ribosomal RNA
Rfam family: Bacterial small subunit ribosomal RNA
Source: RNAcentral